Molecule: ribosomal RNA, 749 nt
Filed under: uncultured archaeon
Lineage: Archaea
Description: bacterial SSU rRNA
Rfam family: Archaeal small subunit ribosomal RNA
Source: RNAcentral
UUCCGGUUGAUCCUGCCGGACCUGACUGCUAUCGGAUUGAUACUAAGCCAUGCGAGUCAUUGUAGCAAUACAAGGCAGACGGCUCAGUAACGCGUAGUCAACCUAACCUAUGGACGGGAAUAGCCUCAGGAAACUGAGAAUAAUGCCCGAUAGAACACUAUGCCUGGAAUGGUUUGUGUUCCAAAUGAUUUAUCGCCGUAGGAUGGGACUGCGGCCUAUCAGUUUGUUGGUGAGGUAAUGGCCCACCAAGACUAUUACAGGUACGGGCUCUGAGAGGAGUAGCCCGGAGAUGGGUACUGAGACACGGACCCAGGCCCUAUGGGGCGCAGCAGGCGAGAAAACUUUGCAAUGUGCGAAAGCACGACAAGGUUAAUCCGAGUGGUUUGUGCUAAACAGACCUUUUGUUAGUCCUAGAAACACUAACGAAUAAGGGGUGGGCAAGUUCUGGUGUCAGCCGCCGCGGUAAAACCAGCACCUCAAGUGGUCAGGAUGAUUAUUGGGCCUAAAGCAUCCGUAGCCGGCUCUGUAAGUUUUCGGUUAAAUCUGUAUGCUCAACAUACAGGCUGCCGGGAAUACUGCAGAGCUAGGGAGUGGGAGAGGUAGACGGUACUCGGUAGGAAGGGGUAAAAUCCUUUGAUCUAUUGAUGACCACCUGUGGCGAAGGCGGUCUACCAGAACACGUCCGACGGUGAGGGAUGAAAGCUGGGGGAGCAAACCGGAUUAGAUACCCGGGUAGUCCCAGCUGUAAA